Molecule: ribosomal RNA, 465 nt
Filed under: uncultured bacterium
Lineage: Bacteria
Description: bacterial SSU rRNA
Rfam family: Bacterial small subunit ribosomal RNA
Source: RNAcentral
GCCAGACUCCUACGGGAGGCAGCAGUGAGGAAUAUUGGUCAAUGGACGCAAGUCUGAACCAGCCAUGCCGCGUGCAGGAAGACGGCUCUAUGAGUUGUAAACUGCUUUUGUACGAGGGUAAAUGCAGGUACGUGUAUCUGUUUGAAAGUAUCGUACGAAUAAGGAUCGGCUAACUCCGUGCCAGCAGCCGCGGUAAUACGGAGGAUCCAAGCGUUAUCCGGAUUUAUUGGGUUUAAAGGGUGCGUAGGCGGUUUUAUAAGUUAGAGGUGAAAUCUCGGGGCUCAACUCCGAAAUUGCCUCUAAUACUGUAGGACUAGAGAGUAGUUGCGGUAGGCGGAAUGUAUGGUGUAGCGGUGAAAUGCUUAGAGAUCAUACAGAACACCGAUUGCGAAGGCAGCAUACCGGCGCCCAACUGACGCUGAAGCACGAAAGCGUGGGUAUCGAACAGGAUUAGAUACCCCCGUA